GCUGCUUGAAAAUGCGCACUGCUACUAGGCGAGCUGCAGGAAACGUUUAAUGAACGGCUAAGAGGCAAAA
Molecule: non-coding RNA, 70 nt
Filed under: unclassified sequences
Source: RNAcentral